This 30-nucleotide non-coding RNA is filed under the name Rattus norvegicus (Norway rat). Lineage: Eukaryota; Metazoa; Chordata; Mammalia; Rodentia; Muridae. The record is from RNAcentral.
UGGUCUUUUCACUGGGUAUGAUGGUCCCCU